AAAAAGAAAAGGUUGGGCAUUCAUGAUGAGAUGAAACCUUAGAUGUUUCCCUUCUAUUAAUUUGUUACUAAAUGGCCUUGCCCCUGGAGUUAAAUAAAAAUGCACAUUUGCAUCUCCUAGUCAGACGAGGAUCGGUGUAUGAUGAUAUGCUGCAACCUGAAUGUGUGUUGGCCAUUGAUAAACGAUGUUCAUUGUACGCUCUACAUCAGUCGAUCCAUAUUUAUAACGAAA
This 231-nucleotide long non-coding RNA is filed under the name Setaria italica (foxtail millet). Its description in RNAcentral is "long non-coding RNA (SITA_LNC004424)". The record is from RNAcentral. Lineage: Eukaryota; Viridiplantae; Streptophyta; Magnoliopsida; Poales; Poaceae.